This 1409-nucleotide ribosomal RNA is filed under the name uncultured bacterium. RNAcentral describes it as "partial 16S ribosomal RNA". It matches the Rfam family "Bacterial small subunit ribosomal RNA". The record is from RNAcentral.
AGAGUUUGAUCCUGGCUCAGGACGAACGCUGGCGGCGUGCUUAACACAUGCAAGUCGAACGGACCAUUUGCAACGUUUGUUGUUGGUGGUUAGUGGCGGACGGGUGAGUAACACGUGAGUAACCUGCCCCUUGGUUUUUUGGGAUAACUGCUUGAAAGGGUGGCUAAUACCGAUGGUGCGGUUGGUGUCGCAUGACAUUGAUCGGGAAGAAUCAACGUUUGUUGGUUUGGUUGGGGAUGGGCUCGCGGCCUAUUAGUUUGUUGGUGGGGUGAUGGCUUACCAAGGCUUUGACGGGUAGCCGGCCUGAGAGGGUGGUCGGUCACAUUGGGACUGAGAUACGGCCCAGACUCCUACGGGAGGCAGCAGUGGGGAAUAUUGCACAAUGAACGGAAGUUUGAUGCAGCGACGCCGUGUGAGGGAUGAAGGCCUUUGGGUUGUAAACCUUUUUCGCUUUUGACCAAGGCACAGGUUUGGCCUGUGUUGAGGGUAGGGGGUAAAUGAAGCUCCGGCUAACUACGUGCCAGCAGCCGCGGUAAUACGUAGGGAGCGAGCGUUGUCCGGAUUUAUUGGGCGUAAAGGGCUUGUAGGUGGAUGGGUCAGUCGGAUGUGAAAUCCCUAGGCUUAACCUAGGAACUGCAUUCGAAACGGCCUGUCUUGAGUGCAGGAGAGGGCAGUGGAAUUCCCAGUGUAGCGGUGAAAUGCGUAGAUAUUGGGAGGAACACCAGUGGCGAAGGCGGCUGCCUGGACUGUAACUGACACUGAGGCGCGAAAGCGUGGGGAGCAAACAGGAUUAGAUACCCUGGUAGUCCACGCCGUAAACGAUGGGUACUAGGUGUAGGAGGUAUCGACCCCUUCUGUGCCGGAGUUAACACAAUAAGUACCCCGCCUGGGGAGUACGGCCGCAAGGCUGAAACUCAAAGGAAUUGACGGGGGCCCGCACAAGCGGUGGAGCAUGUGGUUUAAUUUGACGCAACGCGAAGAACCUUACCAGGUCUUGACAUAGUACUGCAAGGCUAAGAGAUUAGCCCCCCUCUUCGGAGGCGGUAUUACAGGUGGUGCAUGGUUGUCGUCAGCUCGUGUCGUGAGAUGUUGGGUUAAGUCCCGCAACGAGCGCAACCCUCGUUGUUAGUUGCCAGCACAUAAUGGUGGGCACUCUAACGAGACUGCCGGUGACAAACCGGAGGAAGGUGGGGAGGACGUCAAAUCAUCAUGCCCUUUAUGACCUUGGCUACACACGUGCUACAAUGGCCUAUACAAAGGGCGGGUAAGGAGCGAUCCGGAGCUAAUCCCAUAAAGUAGGUCCCAGUUCGGAUUGCAGGCUGCAACUCGCCUGCAUGAAGUCGGAGUUGCUAGUAACCGCGAAUCAGAAUGUCGCGGUGAAUAAAUUCCCGGGCCUUGCACACACCGCC